This 1080-nucleotide ribosomal RNA is filed under the name uncultured Rhizaria. RNAcentral's name for it is "SSU rRNA". It matches the Rfam family "Eukaryotic small subunit ribosomal RNA", at positions 577 to 1674 of the family's 1831-position model. The record is from RNAcentral.
CGGUAAUUCCAGCUCCAAUAGCGUAUACUAAAGUUGUUGCAGUUAAAAAGCUCGUAGUUGGAUUUCUGCGGGGACGGAGCGGCCGGACGCAACUUGCGUCUCGAGCUAGCGCUUUCCCCACAUCCUGCCGCGAACCGUGCUACCAUUAGUUUGGUGGCGCUGGGGAUCGGCUCGAUUACUUUGAGAAAAAUAGAGUGUUCAAAGCAGGCCACACGCCUUGAAUAAGUUAGCAUGGAAUAAUGACUAAGGACUUUGGUUCUUUUCGUUGGUGUUCGGGACUGAAGUAAUGAUUGAUAGGGACAGUUGGGGCGGUCCGUAUUCCAAAGCGAGAGGUGAAAUUCUUAGACCUUCGGAAGACGAACAGCUGCGAAAGCGUUCCGCAAGGAUGUUCCCUUUGAUCAAGAACGAAAGUUGGGGGAUCGAAGGCGAUCAGAUACCGUCGUAGUCUCAACUAUAAACUAUACCAGCUAGGGAUCGGCCAACGUUUAAUUAUUCGACUUGGUCGGCACCUUAUGAGAAAUCAAAGCAUCUGGGUUCCGGGGGGAGUAUGGUCGCAAGGCUGAAACUUAAAGGAAUUGACGGAAGGGCACCACCAGGCGUGGAGCCUGUGGCUUAAUUUGACUCAACACGGGAAAACUUACCAGGUCCAGACAUAGGAAGGAUUGACAGAUUGAUAGCUCUUUCUUGAUUCUGUGGGUGGUGGUGCAUGGCCGUUUUUAGUCGGUGAAGUGAUUUGUCUGCUUAAUUGCGUUAACGGACGAGACCCCAGCCUGCUAAAUAGCGCGGCCGAGCUUUGCUCGGUGCGAGCUUCUUAGAGGGACCAUGAUGCGCGAUAGCACAAGGAAGUUUGGGGCAACAACAGGUCUGUGAUGCCCUUAGAUGUUCUGGGCCGCACACGGGCUACACUGGCGCCUGCAACGAGCAUAUCAGCUGGCCCGAGAGGGUCUUGGCUAAUCUUUGGAACCGGCGCCGUGCUUGGGAUUGACCAUUGCAAUUGUUGGUCAUGCAACGAGGAAUGCCUUGUAAACGCGAGUCAUCAGCUCGCAUUGAAUACGUCCCUGCCCCUUGUACACACCGCCC